GACGUAGGAUGCAAGCGUUGUUCGGAUUUAUUGGGCGUAAAGCGAGCGUAGGUGGCUAGUUAAGUCUGGUGUUAAAGCUAGGGGCUCAACCCCUGUGUUGCACUGGAAACUGGCUGGCUUGAGGAUGGUAGGGGAAGGUGGAAUUCCGAGUGUAGCGGUGAAAUGCGUAGAUAUUCGGAGGAACACCAGUGGCGAAGGCGACUUACUGGACACAUAUUGACGCUGAGGUGCGAAAGCGUGGGGAGCAAACAGG
Molecule: ribosomal RNA, 253 nt
Filed under: uncultured bacterium
Lineage: Bacteria
Description: partial 16S ribosomal RNA
Rfam family: Bacterial small subunit ribosomal RNA
Source: RNAcentral